GGGGGCUUUCAUCAAGGUUAGUGUUUCUAUAGGUUGGGGGCUUUCAUCAAGGUGUUUCUUUAGGUUGGGGGCUUUCAUCAAGGUUAGUGUUUCUAUAGGUUGGGGGCUUUCAUCAAGGUGUUUCUUUAGGUUGGGGGCUUUCAUCAAGGUGUUUCUUUAGGUUGGGGGCUUUCAUCAAGGUUAGUGUUUCUUUAGGUUGGGGGCUUUCAUCAAGGUGUUUCUUUAGGUUGGGGGCUUUCAUCAAGGUUAGUGUUUCUAUAGGUUGGGGGCUUUCAUCAAGGUUAGUGUUUCUUUAGGUUGGG
Molecule: long non-coding RNA, 302 nt
Organism: Oncorhynchus tshawytscha (Chinook salmon)
Lineage: Eukaryota; Metazoa; Chordata; Actinopteri; Salmoniformes; Salmonidae
Source: Ensembl